GCAUAUAUACUUGCUUAAAUAAAUUAAACAAGAGGCCCAAGAAUAUAUUACCCGAUAUUUGGCUGAGUGAACCUGCCCCAGUAAAAUUGAAUUGGGCGUCAAGAAUAGGUCUAUUUCCUCCUGGUUUUGCCUGCAUUUGCCAUGCUUCAUUUCUGUGCAACCAAUCGGACUCAUUGUCAUCGCCCAGUUGAGAUGCAUAGUGCUGCACAUGUGGCGCCAUAUCUCUGGCAUGCUUCAUUUGUGUGCAACCAAGCGGACUCAUCGUCACCGCCCACCUGAGAUGCAUACUCGUGAACAUGUGUCGCCAUACCUCUACCUUGACUUUGCCCGUUGGUUAUAUCUUGGAAUGGAGCCCGUGAGGAAGAUGCCAUACCAAAUUUAGGUUACCCCUCGUUGGUGAGGAUUACACCUGUCAUAGAAUUCUGUUAGCUUUGUCUCCUUUUGUAUUAUUGUACAUUUAGAUCUGGCUAUAUCUAGAUUUUAUAUGAUCACCUAGCCUAAUAAAACUUCAGUUGGAUGCCUUUUUUAUCCUCAGCUUUGACAAGCAACUGUUGGGUAUUAUAUUUUGAUAGGAAUUAACAUGAAAGAAAGCUACGUGGCAUUUUGUAAAGGAUUCCAAUUGUUGCGACAUUAAGUUUUUAUUUAGAAUUUGUUAAGCAGAGGCAUAUAGAUUAAUAUUUGUUAAUGUGACCUGCAAUUCUAGAUUAUUGCAAAACCUAAAGUGCAUACAUACCUUCAUGGGGUAGAGUACCUUUUGUUUUACAUGAUAGUGAUCAUUUCUUCCAGGAAUAUAACCUAAACUGCACACACUCAUAUUUAGCAAUCCAGGAAUACACUCCUUUGUGGUACUUGCGCAAAGAGGUAGUUACAAAUGCAAAGGUCAAUGUAGUGUUGUCUGACAAGGCAGUACUGAAAGAUGUAGACAGAGAGCUUGCAAGAUUAGAAAAUGAACUGAAAGAGCCGGAGUCAGCCUCCUGCACAAGUCAUGUUGGUUUUGACUAAUUAAAAGGUGGUUUUGACUGUAAUUUGGGUGACUUUCCUGCAGAUGUUCUAUCAAAUUCUUGUAGAACCCAGCGUGAGUACAUGGGUGACAAUCAGGGCCGAUUUUGUGAAGAAACCUGAAGAAAGAUGUGGAGUUCGUUUGGCAUCCGUCUAGUGCAGCA
Lolium perenne is the source of this 1163-nucleotide non-coding RNA. NCBI's taxonomy places the organism in Eukaryota, Viridiplantae, Streptophyta, Magnoliopsida, Poales, Poaceae. The record is from RefSeq and is a predicted model, not a curated record.